Molecule: RNase P RNA, 365 nt
Filed under: uncultured Akkermansia sp.
Lineage: Bacteria; Pseudomonadati; Verrucomicrobiota; Verrucomicrobiia; Verrucomicrobiales; Akkermansiaceae
Description: Bacterial RNase P class A
Rfam family: Bacterial RNase P class A
About the family: Ribonuclease P (RNase P) is a ubiquitous endoribonuclease, found in archaea, bacteria and eukarya as well as chloroplasts and mitochondria. Its best characterised activity is the generation of mature 5'-ends of tRNAs by cleaving the 5'-leader elements of precursor-tRNAs.
Source: RNAcentral
UCGGGUGGUCGCUGUCGGGCGCUGAGCCCGGCAGAGGAAAGUCCGGACAUCACAAGGCAGCGCGUCCCGUGAAAGCGGGAGACGCCCGGCUUCAAGGCCGGGUGGACGGAAAGUGCCACAGAAAACAAACCGCCCGCAAGGGUAAGGGUGAAAAGGUGGGGUAAGAGCCCACCGCUCCUGAGGCAACGAGGGAGGCACGGCAAACCCCGCGCGAUGCAAGACAAACAGGGGAAGGGUCGCCUGCCCGCUCAUCCCCGGGUAAUAGUUGCACCCCGCCUCGGCGGGGCACGCCCGGCUCUCCGCGAGCCGAGCGCGAGAAAAAUGGCCACACAGCCCGCAAGGGUGGACAGAAUCUGGCUUACAGA